This is a long non-coding RNA of Athalia rosae (coleseed sawfly), 346 nucleotides long. RefSeq lists it as uncharacterized. NCBI's taxonomy places the organism in Eukaryota, Metazoa, Arthropoda, Insecta, Hymenoptera, Athaliidae. The record is from RefSeq and is a predicted model, not a curated record. The transcript has 3 exons.
UUUGUUGAAGUUACUCCAGUCGCGUUUUGAACGUGUACCAGGAAGGAGAAUCGAACGAAUUUUCCACGCGGUGAGUCCAGUUUCCAGUUAACAUUGGCCGAUGAUUCGGAAAGUAGUGUUAACUUUGAUCUGCAUAUUUCAAAAAAGUACCCAACUAUCAGUAGCUACUGAAAGACCAAUAUCAUUGGAAAUUUAUCGAACUCCGUAACUCUGACAUUUCUCCGUGAGCAGUGGCUCUCAAAUUGUUAUUACGGUGCCUGGUUCAUCGCAUUACUCAUUUAACUUCCGACCACGAAGGACAGGACUUGCAUGGAAUCGCACGAUACGUUUACAGGUUCUCGGGGAU